Long non-coding RNA from Onychostoma macrolepis, 1467 nucleotides. RefSeq lists it as uncharacterized. Lineage: Eukaryota; Metazoa; Chordata; Actinopteri; Cypriniformes; Cyprinidae. The transcript has 6 exons. The record is from RefSeq and is a predicted model, not a curated record.
CCUGCCCUUGUGUCCUCCUCUGCCAGUACUCUCCAUGGUGCUGAAGGUGACAUGCGCCGUGUUGUGAGGGGCCAUGCUUCCUUCUUGCCCCCACAACACAGAGAUACAUAUAGCAAAUUACUGUUUGUUAAGAAGCGAUAGGAAUCGUAAAGGUGCACUGUAAAAAAAUUCCGUAAAAAUACAGUACAAUAUACCGUAAUAAUUUGAAGGAAUUUUCCAUAUUUGGUUUUUACAGGUGUUUUUCCGUAUUUUUUUAAUGACGCUUUGCAUUGUGGGAACAAGAAGCUCAGUCGAUUAUCGGCGCGAAAACAGCGCUAGAGCAGACGCCAUUAUUCACAGAGAUAGUCUCGGUAAAAAAUGUCAUUUUAAAGUCGGAUUUGAGAAAUGUAACAAACUGUAACGUUAACUUAGUUGCAUGCUGUCUUCCUUGUUUGCAAUGAAUGUCGGAGGCUCGGAGCCGUCGCAUUUGACAUCUUCAGCACACCGUCACAUCUCACUCGACGUGGAGAGCGCUGUGUGCCUCCAACAGAAGCUGGCAGAGCAAUUGUCAAGAAAAGAAGAUCCCAUUACGACUUUUUUUUAUUCUUUAAAAGAGAUUAUACAACUAGGUGAAGAUCUGACAUCGCGGAAUUCUUCAAGGAUAACGCAACUUUUCUGCCAAACGAGGUUGUAAUUGCUGCUGUAUUGUGCAUCCCAAGUACUCCCUGCAUUCUUAUCAAGGCGCACUAGAGGGCGCUCAAGAUUCCUCCCGUGUGUAUGUUUUGUUAUCAAUGAAGAAAAGGAGUUUUUCCAGAGUUCUCAGUAAAUAAGAAAUUGCUGUCAUUCAAUAACUUAUCAUUUCCUCCCCCGUUGUGGCUGAGCUACACAUUCUCUUCAUUUUAUUUUAAACAUAAACAUCCAGAGGAGACGGCACCUACGUUGGCAUUCAUACAAAUUCUUCCUGUGAAGAAAUCCUGAACGAGGGUCGACGGUUCAGAUGAAGGGAACCUACGCUUCCAAGACUCAUGUAUGAACAACUUCGAGAAUCCAUGUACAAUUUGAGCUUUUUUCAGAUCUCAACAUGGAACUUGGACUGAACAUGCAGCAGAAGGAAAAAAAAAACAAAAGUAGUAGUUUCCCCAAGCUGGCACAUGGCAAGAGAUACUAAAAGCACACAAACACUUGGAGCCCUGCUCUUAAUUUAGAUUGUAUAGUUCUCUUAGUUUCACAUUGAAAUGUCAGGCAUGAGUGCAUGAAUCUUUGUUCUUUAUUUUCUAAUGAUGUACAAGAGAGGUUUUUUUUUGCAGUACCAGACAGAAUUCAAAUUUUUUGAUGUGAACUGUCCUUUUAAAUAACAUUUCACUUAACUAUUGACUAGAAGUCUGUAGCAAUUGUUAUUAAUGACAGCCCUGGCUUUGUAUAAAUUUUUUCCCAUGUAUCUGAAAAUGUUUUGAAUCUUGACUGUUUCACAGUGAAGUUUAUCUUUGU